ACGCUCGACACCUACGGGAGGCAGCAGGUGGGGAAUAUUGCACAAUGGGGGAAACCCUGAUGCAGCGACGCCGCGUGAGCGAAGAAGUAUUUCGGUAUGUAAAGCUCUAUCAGCAGGGAAGAAGAAAGACGGUACCUGACUAAGAAGCCCCGGCUAACUACGUGUCAGCAGCCGCGGUAAUCUGAGCGGGCUGGCAAGGC
Molecule: ribosomal RNA, 200 nt
Filed under: uncultured bacterium
Lineage: Bacteria
Description: partial 16S ribosomal RNA
Rfam family: Bacterial small subunit ribosomal RNA
Source: RNAcentral